This is a long non-coding RNA of Talpa occidentalis (Iberian mole), 613 nucleotides long. RefSeq lists it as uncharacterized. NCBI's taxonomy places the organism in Eukaryota, Metazoa, Chordata, Mammalia, Eulipotyphla, Talpidae. The transcript is spliced from 5 exons. The record is from RefSeq and is a predicted model, not a curated record.
CUUUCAAGGCUUCCUAGAAGACUGUCAUUGCACACAAAUACAAGAAUGAGCAACUCUCCUGGACCCCGGGAAUGAGAAGUCUGUGACCUAGGAGCUGGGAUAUCAAUCAACUUUCUAGAUCAUGAAGAACAAAAGAAUCCAGAAGGAAUGGUGUGUGUGUGCCUUUGCUGGAUGCAACAGUCUAUCUGCUGUUUUGAAUAUAUUCCAAGAUCAUUUGCCAAGAAAAGAAGAAUUUAAGGACAAUUGGUUUUGAUUCCACUGAAGAAAUACAAAGUCACUGUUCUCAAGAAUUCUAACAAAGGAAAGAAGAAAGGACUCCCCAAAGUUAUUCCAGUUUAUCUCGUCUCCUAAGUAUGUCGUUGAGUUGAAAUUACUCAUCUUCUCUGAGGUUGGGUAUGACCAUGUAAGUUCUUUUGGCCAAUGAAGCAUGAGUUGGAGUGAGGUAUACAACUUUCAUGUGGACGCUUUGAGGACCAGUAAGUAACUGGUCACAUUCCUUUUGUUCGGCCCUAGUGAUCGUAGAGGUAUUUGAUAAAAGUAGAGCUUCCGUAAACCAGAGUCUUGGAACAUGCAUUAUAAACAGAGUCUCUCUCCAGUCUUCACUGAAUAUGGA